RNAcentral lists this ribosomal RNA (140 nucleotides) under uncultured eukaryote. RNAcentral's name for it is "partial 18S ribosomal RNA". It matches the Rfam family "Eukaryotic small subunit ribosomal RNA", at positions 1299 to 1458 of the family's 1831-position model. The record is from RNAcentral.
UGGUGGAGUGAUUUGUCUGGUUAAUUCCGUUAACGAACGAGACCUCGACCUGCUAAAUAGAUCGGCGAACCUCCGGGUUCGUUCGCGUCUUCUUAGAGGGACUAUCGGUGCGUAGCCGAUGGAAGUUCGAGGCAAUAACA